Long non-coding RNA from Dreissena polymorpha, 4413 nucleotides. RefSeq lists it as uncharacterized. NCBI's taxonomy places the organism in Eukaryota, Metazoa, Mollusca, Bivalvia, Myida, Dreissenidae. The transcript is spliced from 2 exons. The record is from RefSeq and is a predicted model, not a curated record.
UGUUGGAUGAAAUAGUUUCUACAUCAGCCUCAAAUUUACUUGCCAUCUGUGGUAGUCAAACAAAUAAUGGGUUGUUUAACUAAUCAACAAAAGUGAUGCCAAUUAGCUUAUGUUUCUGAAACUAAUAUUAAAUAAAUUUUAAUUUUUAGGAGAUCAAUUUUCUGAAAAUGUGACCUCUAUUCUACACUUAAAAGUACAACAAAGUUUAUGUCAUUUCUAAACAUUAAUCAAUUAAAUUAAUUCAUUAAUCACUAUUAAAUUGAAUGUAUUUAUGUCUUAGAAAAAAAGACAACCUUUUAUCCAAAUUGAAUAUCAAUUAUGACACUGGUUUUAUAAUAAGCCAACAUGAACAAGACAAUUUUCCUGUAUCAAAAAAGCGUAUGGUAUGAUAAAAUAUAUAGUAUCUCGAUAUAUUAUUGUUGUUUGUAUGUUACUAUGUACAUAUUUGUAUUGUAUCGUUGCUCUUCAGGUUUGCUAAAGCUAGUAUUACCUCAUCUAUGAGCGUUUGGGAGGGUAGCUGCUGGAGCAAGCUACUCUGCAAAAUAAUAUUGCUGAGCUGGUCAAGUUGUCCAGCUGCUGCUGUCUGGGACACGAAUUCUUCCCUCUCAUCUGGUUGCUUGACAGGAACCUGUGUGGUUGGUCCUUCGACUAACGGCGAUGUCACAGCUUCUGCCUCAACAUACUGUUUCAGCCGGUCUAAGGAAACCUUCUGCUUCAGCCUUUGACCGUCUGAAAGGAGGCAGGCUGUCUUUCCCUGUAUAUGAUCAAUUGUAUAAGGGCCUGUAUAGUUAGCUUGAAGGUUUCCUUUUCGGGUGGCUGUCUUUGCACGAAGGAGGAGCACUCGGUCGCCUUCUUUUAAAGCAACAUAUUUUUUGGUUUGCCUCAUUUUGAAGUCCUUUUGCUGCUUUCUAUGUGCAGUGUCUAUGUUGGUGGUCACCUCAUCCAUUGCUCUUUUUCUUAUGUGUGUUAUGUUUUCUACCAUCUCUUCCUCCUCUUGUGGUGUUACAGUAGGAAUCUGCAAUAGUCAAGAAAUGUUACACAUGUUUGUGUACUUGGGCAUAAUAUUUGCUUGGACUUUUUAUGAAGAUAUUACACUAAUUAUGAAUGAUAUUGAAAUGUACAAUUAUUUGUUGACUCCAGUAUUUGAAGAGCACACUUGCUGACCUGUAUGCAUGUAUUUGUUUCAUAAAUCUUAUUUAACACAUGCCAUUCCCUGUUUCCCAUGUAAUAUAACCAUAACAUAUAUUUUUAUCUUACACAUGUGUAAUAUACUUUAUAAGUGUUUUCAUAGGCUUAGUUUUCGUUUAUUGACCAAUCGCAUUUUGUUAUGAAUGACGUUGCAACAUCAGAUGACAUCAUGUAAACAACAUUCGGGAUUUAUUAUUAUGUUUGCGUACUAUUUAUUUAAUUUGCUUAUUUAAAAGCAUGUGAUAAAAAGAUCUGACAAUCGUUGUCAUAUCAUACCAUAUUUUAUUAAACGCGUCAAAGGCUCGCUUACUAACAAAAUUCCUGAACUCGUUAAUAAAAUAUAGUAAGAUAUGACAACUCAUGCUAGCUCCUAUAUGUAUAUCCGGCAUUAACAGAUCAAAUGUAAAACAUUGGAUAAAGCUUUACAAAUUGAGGUAAUUAAGCUUAAUGUUCAUGUAAUUGGGAUUAUCUUAAUGAAGUAUCUCAAUUUCUCAGUAUUAUUUUCACACUUAGAUACUACUCAAUUCUGGCAUUUAAUUUAUUGAUUCAUUUAUUUAAUGCCAAAUAACAUUUGUAUGCCAUGUAUAUGUAAUUUAAUUGUAUUCUAUAAAUCCUCUGUUCUUAAUAACAAUUGUAUCACAUACUGCUCCAGUGAACGCUGGCGGAAGCUGACUUGGGUAAACCGCCUCUCUCCCGUACAAAAGGAAGAAGGGUGUGAACUUGGUGCUGGAGUGCCGUUUGGUGCGCUGGGCAAACAGAGCUCCAUCAAGUUUUAGAUGGAAUUGGGAACGCUUCAACCCACUUGGUGAAAUAAUCUGUUGCGGUAAAAAUGAACUUGUUGCCACUGGAUGUUUCUUGGAAUGGGCCCAUAAGAUCUACACCAACCAGCUCGAAUGGGCAAGAAACCUAGAAUUUAAGGAACUAUUACAAACCGAACUUAACAGAAGAAAAUAUACUAAUGGCUAUGCAUCGUGGACUCGCAUUUUUCCUUAAAAUGCAGUUUCAAAAUUGAUAUAGAACAAUGUAUUUGUCAGCGUCCCAUAUAUAGCACAUUAUAUAUUAACUGUUUGUAAUUUGUACAUUCAUGUUACUUAUUUUGUAAUAUGUAUAUUAUACAAUUGCUGUACAUAGAAUUUAUAACAUCCUUUUUCUCAUUGAAUGUAUAUGGUCCUGGUGUUGUUGUCUCCGUCUUCGUCCGCGUCGUGCUAAAACCUUAACAAUUUGUCAAGGUUUUGAACAUUAGCUCUAAAAUCAAAGUGCUUCAACCGACAACUUCAUAUGUAGCUGCACCUUGAUGAGUUCUAAAUGCCACACCCAAUUUUGGGUCACUAGGUCAAAGGUCAAGGUCACUGUGACUUGAAAAAAAAUUCUGUCAAGCUUUCAUGUAUUCAAAACUGCACCCGCAGCUGAGCGUGCCCGUUAUGCUAUGCUCUUGUUCCUUUAUUGUUAGGUUUUUAUCUGUUUUUACUGUACAGAGAAUAUUUUACGUAUUGUAAUACCUUUAUUUGCUGGAGUUCGGGUUUCUUGGCUGGUUUUAAGGGGUCAGACUUCUGACAAGCCUCACAGGUACUCACCUAAAAUAACAGAUUGUAUUGUUUAUUUAUAAUUUAUUGUCUUUGUGUGUCUAUAUAUGUAUACAGUGGUCUUUAGUAAAAGAUAAAUAUAUAAUCACAAGUGAAAAACCAAAAUAUGUAAACCAAAAUUUAAAAAGCAUGUGGAAAUUAUCAGAUGCAUGUCAUAAUAAGGCUUUAUAGAGGUAUAACAACAGGGAACUUUACGUUUAAAUUGUUUUUGCACCUUACUCAAAAGCUGUGUUUGUGACUGUUUGAAGAAAUCUAAACUUACAUUUUAAUAAAUAACCAUUAAUCAAGAAAUUUGAAGUAAAGAAAGGAUUAAUUACUUUUUAACCUCUACAAUUCCCACCUUUUCCCUGAUUUAUACUUACGUAUUUCUUAAUGUCCUCUGUGAGCCCUGGCCACCAAUAGCGCAAGUUGAUCGCCUCUCUAGUCUUGUUUAUGCCACUGUGGCCACCAAAGGCACUUCCAUGGAACUCCUUAAGGAUAUUGUUUACAUCUUUUUUCAAAACAACCUUUGUACCAUCGAUCUUUCCAGGUACAAAUCUGUACAGAUCACAACAUAAAACCAAAUUUAGGAAAUACCUUGAUUUUAACAUUAUAACAUAUUUCGUGUGUAAAAAUCACAAAUGUGUUUUCAGCAUAAAAAUUCCUUUGUAUGUUAACUUUAUGUUCAACAAAAAGCUUGGCUUAAAUGAAAUGGUUCAGGCAUAAAAACGAUAAAGACGAUGGGUUAGAAAAUAGUACUUCCGUCUAUUUUAUUUCAUAAAAUGUGCAAGAAAUGCUUCAUAUGUGUUAAUUAUUGACUGUUGAUUUUAUAUAACAAAUAUAGCUGAAUUACAAUGUAAUGGGUCACAAUCAGGUCUGAAAUUGUAUUUUUCUUGCAUACUUCAGAAAGGCUGUAACUGUGUAUCUUAUGCAUCUGUCGGUCCGUCCACCAGGUGGUUGUCAGACGAUAACUCAAGAACGCUUGGGCCUAGGAUCAUGAAACUUCAUAGGUACAUUGAUCAUGACUCACAGAUGACCCCUAUUGAUUUUGAGGUCACUAGGUCAAAGGUCAAGGUCACGGUGACCCAAAAUAGUAAAAUGGUUUCCGGAUGAUAACUGAAGAACGCUUAUGGCUAGGAUCAUGAAACUUCAUAGGUACAUUGAUCAUGACUCACAGAUGACCCCUAUUGAUUUUGAGGUCACUAGGUCAAAGGUCAAGGUCACGGUGACCCAAAAUAGUAAAAUGGUUUCCGGAUGAUAACUCAAGAAGGCUUAGGCCUAGGAUCAUGAAACUUGACAGGUAGAUUGAUCAUGACUCGCAGAUGACCCCUAUUGAUUUUCAGGUCACUAGGUCAAAGGUCAAGGUCACGGUGACCCGAAAUAGUAAAAUGGUGUCCGGAUGAUAACUCAAGAAUGCUUAUGGCUAGGAUCAUGAAACUUCAUAGGUACAUUGAUCAUGACUGGCAGAUGACCCCUAUUGAUUUUCUGGUCACUAGGUCAAAGGUCAAGGUCACAGUGACAAAAAACAUAUUCACACAAUGGCUCUCACUACAACAGAGAGCCCAUAUGGGGGGCAUGCAUGUUUUACAAACAGCCCUUGUGUUAAUGUUAUGUCUUGGAAUGAAAUUAAUGUUACUUGAUGUUAAUAAAGAAGUCAUUAUGA